AUCUUCUGGGUGGCUGAUAACCCCACAUAUUCAUGAUCUGGCCUCAAAUCAGGUAGGGCUACCCGCUGAACUUAAGCAUAUCAAUAAGCGGAGGAAAAGAAACUAACUAGGAUUCCCUUAGUAACGGCGAGUGAACCGGGAUGAGCUCAAAUUUAAAAUCUGGCGUCUUUCAGGCGUCCGAGUUGUAAUCUAUAGAGGCGUUUUCCGCGCCGGACCGCGUCCAAGUCUCUUGGAAUAGAGUAUCAAAGAGGGUGACAAUCCCGUACUUGACGCGACAACCGGUGCUCUGUGAUACGUUCUCAAUGAGUCGAGUUGUUUGGGAAUGCAGCUCUAAAUGGGUGGUAAAUUCCAUCUAAGGCUAAAUAUUGGCGAGAGACCGAUAGCGAACAAGUACCGUGAGGGAAAGAUGAAAAGCACUUUGGAAAGAGAGUUAAACAGCACGUGAAAUUGUUAAAAGGGAAACGAUUGAAGUCAGUCGUGUGAAAGGUAUUCAGCCGUCUCUGGCGGUGUAUUUGCCUUUCACGGGUCAACAUCAGUUUGAUCCGGUAGAAAAAGGCAGGAGGAAGGUGGCACCCUCGGGUGUGUUAUAGCCUCUUGUCAUAUGUGCCGGACCAGACUGAGGAACGCAGCUUGCCGCAAGGCCGGGGU
Molecule: ribosomal RNA, 648 nt
Filed under: Vishniacozyma victoriae
Lineage: Eukaryota; Fungi; Basidiomycota; Tremellomycetes; Tremellales; Bulleribasidiaceae
Description: eukaryotic LSU rRNA
Rfam family: Eukaryotic large subunit ribosomal RNA
Source: RNAcentral